GCGUGCCUAAUACAUGCAAGUCGAGCGAGCGGACUACAGAUUUACUUCAGUAAUGACGUUAGGAAAGCGAGCGGCGGAUGGGUGAGUAACACGUGGGGAACCUGCCCCAUAGUCUGGGAUACCACUUGGAAACAGGUGCUAAUACCGGAUAAGAAAGCAGAUCGCAUGAUCAGCUUUUAAAAGGCGGCGUAAGCUGUCGCUAUGGGAUGGCCCCGCGGUGCAUUAGCUAGUUGGUAAGGUAAAGGCUUACCAAGGCGAUGAUGCAUAGCCGAGUUGAGAGACUGAUCGGCCACAUUGGGACUGAGACACGGCCCAAACUCCUACGGGAGGCAGCAGUAGGGAAUCUUCCACAAUGGACGCAAGUCUGAUGGAGCAACGCCGCGUGAGUGAAGAAGGUUUUCGGAUCGUAAAGCUCUGUUGUUGGUGAAGAAGGAUAGAGGUAGUAACUGGCCUUUAUUUGACGGUAAUCAACCAGAAAGUCACGGCUAACUACGUGCCAGCAGCCGCGGUAAUACGUAGGUGGCAAGCGUUGUCCGGAUUUUAAGGGCGUAAAGCGAGCGCAGGCGGAAGAAUAAGUCUGAUGUGAAAGCCUUCGGCUUAACCGAGGAACUGCAUCGGAAACUGUUUUUCUUGAGUGCAGAAGAGGAGAGUGGAACUCCAUGUGUAGCGGUGGAAUGCGUAGAUAUAUGGAAGAACACCAGUGGCGAAUGCGGCUCUCUGGUCUGCAACUGACGCUGAGGCUCGAAAGCAUGGGUAGCGAACAGGAAUUAGAUACCCUGGUAGUCCAUACCGUAAACGAUGAGUGCUAAGUGUUGGGAGGUUUCCGCCUCUCAGUGUUGCAGGUAACGCAUUAAGCACUCCGCCUGGGGAGUACGACCGCAAGGUUGAUACUCAAAGGAAUUGACGGGGGCCCGCACAAGCGGUGGAGCAUGUGGUUUAAUUCGAAGCAACGCGAAGAACCUUACCAGGUCUUGACAUCUAGUGCCAUUUGUAGAGAUACAAAGUUCCCUUCGGGGACGCUAAGACAGGUGGGCAGGCUGUCGUCAGCUCGUGUCGU
Molecule: ribosomal RNA, 1057 nt
Filed under: Lactobacillus sp. KLB46
Lineage: Bacteria; Bacillati; Bacillota; Bacilli; Lactobacillales; Lactobacillaceae
Description: bacterial SSU rRNA
Rfam family: Bacterial small subunit ribosomal RNA
Source: RNAcentral